Molecule: ribosomal RNA, 253 nt
Filed under: uncultured bacterium
Lineage: Bacteria
Description: partial 16S ribosomal RNA
Rfam family: Bacterial small subunit ribosomal RNA
Source: RNAcentral
UACGUAGGGGCCGAGCGUUGUCCGGAGUUAUUGGGCGUAAAGCGCGCGCAGGCGGCCUCGCGCGCCCGACGUGAAAGCCCCCGGCUUAACCGGGGAGGGUCGUUGGGGACGGCGGGGCUUGAGGGCGGGAGAGGUCGGUGGAAUUCCCGGUGUAGUGGUGAAAUGCGUAGAGAUCGGGAGGAACACCUGUGGCGAAAGCGGCUUCCUGGUCCGACACCGACGUUCAGGCACGAAAGCGUGGGGAGCAAACAGG